AGCUGCUUACAAGAAGAAGGUUUGGGAAUCGCAUCCCGACUUGUUCCCAGUUCAUGACAAGUGCCGUGCUGAGUCCCAGUUCAAGUUGGUAAUUACGUUUUGCUUAUCAAUGAAUUAUGUGUAGACUAUUUGGAACAUCAAGCAUUUCUCCUUCAAUUUCGACUGAGAUAACUGUAAUCGUGCUGAUGUGGCUGCCACAUUGGACGCAUGUUACUCCACUGUAGUUUUACAUGGAGCUCUAGGAAUUUGAAAGAACAGCUGCAGCCUGCAAAACUUUUUUCGAGUUAUGGAAUCGACAACAAACGAGUUUUGUGCCUUGAGCGCACUAUCCUGUAGCGGCAACACAUUGUUGUUUACAGUAAUCAAUGAUGCAAGGACCUUGACCUAACGGUUUGCAUGUAUUGCAGGUUUCAGAGGCUUAUACUCACCUGCUAUCUGGUAAAAUUUUUGGUUCCUUUGUCGUAAUUUGUUACCGUAACUAGUUACAGUACUUAACUUAAGCAUGGUUUUACAAACUCUUAAAUGGAUUCUUGUAGCAUGUCAGGAUGAUUUGUUCCAUCUUUCAUACUGUUAGUCCUGGAUGACUUUGUGGCUUUAAGCAUCUCAUCAAUGCAUCUCUACAUUUUCGAUGAAAGAAUCAUCAAUCGUCAUCUCGUUCUUAAGAAUCGAAAAACAAGUGAAUCGGGAGCUUGAUCAUGUGGUUCAACCCUCUUAGGCUACAUCAAAGCUUGUACCUUUACUUAAUUUAACUACAUCAACAUCAUACCAAAACACAGUACGUAGUAACUUGGUUUAAAGCUCGAAUUCUCUGCAUUUUGCACAGGCGGACUUGGAACCGUUCAUGACUUUUCCGAUUCAGCAGCCAGAUACGCUAGAGUAGUCGUCAGAGCAGGAGUGCCAAAGGGACCAACGGGAAGAAACGAACUCCGGAGGCUAUGGAUUCCGUUUCUAUUUCUUGUUGGGGGGACCAUUGGACUAGGAGGUUUCAUCGGCUCCAGGUUAUCGAUCUACUUCCGGCCUCAUGAAUCUGUCUGAUUAGAAAGAUUGAUCUUUGAUUCAAUGUCAUCCAAUCUGAU
RNAcentral lists this long non-coding RNA (1076 nucleotides) under Linum usitatissimum (flax). Its description in RNAcentral is "long non-coding RNA (LUSI_LNC002194)". Lineage: Eukaryota; Viridiplantae; Streptophyta; Magnoliopsida; Malpighiales; Linaceae. The record is from RNAcentral.